This 505-nucleotide ribosomal RNA is filed under the name uncultured bacterium. RNAcentral describes it as "bacterial SSU rRNA". It matches the Rfam family "Bacterial small subunit ribosomal RNA", at positions 22 to 518 of the family's 1533-position model. The record is from RNAcentral.
CGUCAGGAUGAACGCUAGCUACAGGCUUAACACAUGCAAGUCGAGGGGCAGCAUGGAGUUGCUUGCAAACUCUGAUGGCGACCGGCGCACGGGUGAGUAACGCGUAUCCAACCUUCCCUAUAGUAGAGGAUAGCCCGGCGAAAGUCGGAUUAAUACUCUAUGUUUUCCGUUGCAGACAUCUAAGAUGGAACAAAGGCUUGCCGCUAUAGGAUGGGGAUGCGUCUGAUUAGGUAGUCGGCGGGGUAACGGCCCACCGAGCCAUCGAUCAGUAGGGUUCUGAGAGGAAGGUCCCCCACAUUGGAACUGAGACACGGUCCAAACUCCUACGGGAGGCAGCAGUGAGGAAUAUUGGUCAAUGGGCGAGAGCCUGAACCAGCCAAGUAGCGUGCAGGAUGACGGCCCUAUGGGUGGUAAACUGCUUUUAUGCGGGGAUAAAGUUCACUACGUGUAGUGUUUUGUAGGUACCGCAUGAAUAAGGACCGGCUAAUUCCGUGCCAGCCGCGGC